Molecule: ribosomal RNA, 513 nt
Filed under: Triticum aestivum (bread wheat)
Lineage: Eukaryota; Viridiplantae; Streptophyta; Magnoliopsida; Poales; Poaceae
Description: partial small subunit ribosomal RNA
Source: RNAcentral
AUGGAAUAUCUAUUGUCCUGUCUGGAUUUGAUUAUCCUGACACAAGGUCGUGAUGUGUUUCGCUGGAACCUUACUACAUCGGGGUCUUUCACAGUAGACUCUAUGUAUCGUGCACUCACGUAUUCUGAGGUACCGGUGAGUAAUCAAAAAAAUUGGAAAGCGAAGGUACCACUUAAAGUCAAAAUAUUCAUGUGGUAUCUCCAUAGGGGAGUUGUGCUAACAGAAGACAACCUCGCACGACGCAACUGGUCGGGAAGUAAGAAGUGUUGUUUUUGUACUCAUGAUGAGAUAAUUAAACAUCUCUUUUUUUACUGUAAGUUUGCGCGUACUACGUGGUCAGCCAUCCAAAUAGCGUCAAAUUUGUAUCCGCCCACAAGUGUUGCCAAUAUUUUUGAUCAUUGGCUGCACAGUAUUUCAAAUAGGUACAAAACACUAAUAAGGGUGGGAGCAUAUGCCUUACUAUGGUCACUUUGGCUAUGUAGAAAUGACGUUGUUUUUAAUGACAAAAAAUGA